This 468-nucleotide ribosomal RNA is filed under the name uncultured bacterium. RNAcentral's name for it is "partial 16S ribosomal RNA". It matches the Rfam family "Bacterial small subunit ribosomal RNA", at positions 28 to 507 of the family's 1533-position model. The record is from RNAcentral.
GAUGAACGCUGGCGGCGUGCUUAACACAUGCAAGUCGAACGGUGAAGGCGGAGCUUGCUCUGCUGGAUCAGUGGCGAACGGGUGAGUAACACGUGAGCAAUCUGCCCCUGACUCUGGGAUAAGCGCUGGAAACGGCGUCUAAUACUGGAUACGAGCUGCGAAGGCAUCUUCAGCAGCUGGAAAGAACUUCUGUCAGGGAUGAGCUCGCGGCCUAUCAGCUUGUUGGUGAGGUAACGGCUCACCAAGGCGUCGACGGGUAGCCGGCCUGAGAGGGUGACCGGCCACACUGGGACUGAGACACGGCCCAGACUCCUACGGGAGGCAGCAGUGGGGAAUAUUGCACAAUGGGCGAAAGCCUGAUGCAGCAACGCCGCGUGAGGGACGACGGCCUUCGGGUUGUAAACCUCUUUUAGCAGGGAAGAAGCGAAAGUGACGGUACCUGCAGAAAAAGCGCCGGCUAACUACGUG